RNAcentral lists this ribosomal RNA (497 nucleotides) under uncultured bacterium. RNAcentral's name for it is "partial 16S ribosomal RNA". It matches the Rfam family "Bacterial small subunit ribosomal RNA", at positions 28 to 507 of the family's 1533-position model. The record is from RNAcentral.
GAUGAACGCUGGCGGCGUGCCUAAUACAUGCAAGUCGAGCGAACGGACGAGAAGCUUGCUCCUCUGAUGUUAGCGGCGGACGGGUGAGUAACACGUGGAUAACCUACCUAUAAGACUGGGAUAACUUCGGGAAACCGUAGCUAAUACCGGAUAAUAUUUUGAACCGCAUGGUUCAAAAGUGAAAGACGGUCUUGCUGUCACUUAUAGAUGGAUCCGCGCUGCAUUAGCUAGUUGGUAAGGUAACGGCUUACCAAGGCAACGAGGCGUAGCCGACCUGAGAGGGGGGUCGGCCACACGGGAAGAGAGACGCGGACGGUACGCCUGGGGGAGGGAGCAGAGGGGAAUCGUACGCAAGGGGCGAAAGCCUGACGGAACAGCGCGGCGUGAGAGAUAAAGGUGUUCGGAUCGUAAAACUGUGUUAUGGGGGAAAAACAUAUUUGGAAGUAACUGAACACAUAUUGACGGUACCUAAUAAAAAAGCCACGGCUAACUACGUG